RNAcentral lists this ribosomal RNA (485 nucleotides) under uncultured bacterium. RNAcentral describes it as "partial 16S ribosomal RNA". It matches the Rfam family "Bacterial small subunit ribosomal RNA", at positions 899 to 1397 of the family's 1533-position model. The record is from RNAcentral.
ACUCAAAUGAAUUGACGGGGGCCCGCACAAGCAGCGGAGCGUGUGGUUUAAUUCGACGCAACGCGAAGAACCUUACCCAGGCUUGACAUGCACGUGGUACGAGGUGGAGACACCGAGGACCCGCAAGGGAGCGUGCACAGGUGCUGCACGGCUGUCGUCAGCUCGUGCCGUGAGGUGUUGGGUUAAGUCCCGCAACGAGCGCAACCCUCGCCGCCAGUUACGAUGUCUGGCGGGACCGCCGGGUCCAACCCGGAGGAAGGUGGGGAUGACGUCAAGUCAGCAUGGCCCUUACGCCUGGGGCUACACACACGCUACAAUGGCCGGCACAAGGGGCUGCGAAGGGGCGACCCGGAGCGAAUCCCGCCAAAGCCGGUCCCAGUUGGGAUCGCAGGCUGCAACUCGCCUGCGUGAACGCGGAGUUGCUAGUAACCGCAGGUCAGCACACUGCGGUGAAUACGUUCCCGGGCCUUGCACACACCGCCCGU